AUACCCGAGGAACCUUACCUGGACUUGACAUAUAGGGAAAAACUGGAGAAAUCCAGUGUGCGUAAGCGCCCUAUACAGGUGUUGCAUGGCUGUCG
This 95-nucleotide ribosomal RNA is filed under the name uncultured marine bacterium. Its description in RNAcentral is "partial small subunit ribosomal RNA". It matches the Rfam family "Bacterial small subunit ribosomal RNA", at positions 957 to 1054 of the family's 1533-position model. The record is from RNAcentral.